GACGAACGCUGGCGGCGUGCUUAACACAUGCAAGUCGAACGGAAAGGCCCUGCUUGCAGGGUACUCGAGUGGCGAACGGGUGAGUAACACGUGGGUGAUCUGCCCUGCACUUCGGGAUAAGCCUGGGAAACUGGGUCUAAUACCGGAUAGGAGCCAUUUUUAGUGUGAUGGUUGGAAAGUUUUUUCGGUGUAGGAUGAGCUCGCGGCCUAUCAGCUUGUUGGUGGGGUAAUGGCCUACCAAGGCGGCGACGGGUAGCCGGCCUGAGAGGGUGGACGGCCACAUUGGGACUGAGAUACGGCCCAGACUCCUACGGGAGGCAGCAGUGGGGAAUAUUGCACAAUGGGCGCAAGCCUGAUGCAGCGACGCCGCGUGGGGGAUGACGGCCUUCGGGUUGUAAACUCCGUUCGCUAGGGACGAAGCUUUUUGUGACGGUACCUAGAGAAGAAGCACCGGCUAACUACGUG
This 465-nucleotide ribosomal RNA is filed under the name uncultured bacterium. RNAcentral describes it as "partial 16S ribosomal RNA". It matches the Rfam family "Bacterial small subunit ribosomal RNA", at positions 28 to 507 of the family's 1533-position model. The record is from RNAcentral.